Diceros bicornis minor is the source of this 1793-nucleotide long non-coding RNA. RefSeq lists it as uncharacterized. The transcript has 4 exons. The record is from RefSeq and is a predicted model, not a curated record. NCBI's taxonomy places the organism in Eukaryota, Metazoa, Chordata, Mammalia, Perissodactyla, Rhinocerotidae.
CUGCCGGCUGCGCUCGGUGUCGCGGCCACCCCGUGCGCGCCGGCUCGGACCCCGGCAGGUUUGCGGCCCGGCAGCCCUGACCACGGCCGACACCCCCAGAGGGCACCCAGCCCGCCUGCUUUCUCUUUCUCCUCCUCCUGGCCUCGCCCGCCCCUCCGUUUCCAGACCUUGACAGCUUCGGAAGAGGCACGUUCUGCCCAUCGCCUCUCUGAUCCUCGCCGCCUCCGCUUAGAUGCUACAGACCUUGCCCUCAGGAGCUCGGAGCCUAAUGAGGAAGAUGCACAUUUGAAAAAUUAACCAAAUAAGGAAUCAGAGAUCCAGAGAAGUUAAACAACUUGCCUAAAGACACACAACUAAAUAAUGGCAGAGCCAGGACAAGAAUCCAAAUCUCCUGGCUGCUAGUCUACAAUCAGAAGAUAUUCUGAGCAUCAUCAGUCAUAGUGGAUUCUGAAAGAGAUACCGGAACACCAGAGAAUAAGAGCUCCUUGGAUUUCCAGCUUCACCCUUGCCGAGUAAUAUUCCAAGGUUUGAACCAACACUCUGACGAUUUCUGCCAAGCAGUGCAGCUUCCAAAGUCCAACCCAACCUUCCCUCCUUCCCUUGCCCUGGAACCCCCAGACCUGGUGCAGGGAGCAAUGCCAUCCCCCCAAAGGACCUGAAAGUGUACCGGGGCAAGGGAAGCCCAGGACUGAACUUUUUCUGAGAUCCUAUGUGAUAAGGCAUGCUGCCCAGCGCCCCUCCUACCUGCAACCUUUCUCCCCAGAGACUCCUUCUUCAGGACACCCUCCGAGAUGUACAGCAGGGCAUGAAAGCCACUAAGAGAUGGCAGGGCCUUCCACAAUUGCUACCAGUCUUGCCUUCGCUGUUUAGGCUUUUUGCCUAUGGAGUCAUGAUGUUCCCAGCUUUAACUGAACUUGUCACUCACAGGCCUGGAUAAAGACUGGCCCUUACACACAUGGCUGACCACGUCUUCUGCAAUGCACUCUUUCUAAAGAGGAGGAAGCUCGUACUUUCUCUGUCCAGUCUACUCCCUGUCCUUUGUAAAUUGGUUCCUGGGCCAAAGAAACACACGCCAGGACUCCCUAGAACUUGAGUUCUCAACUGUGGCUGCUCAUUGGAACUAACCUGGGGAGCUUUUAAAUCCCGGUGGCCUGGGCACUAUGCCAGACCAACUCAGUCAGAACCUCUGGAGACGCAACCAGGCACUGUCAUUUUUAAUGCUCCACAGGUGAUUCUAGGGGGCAGCCAGGGUUGAGAACCACCGCUCUAGAUUCGAGAGUCCAGACUGUGUCCUUCUAGGCCUCCAGCUCCCCCUCUCUUGGACUCCAGUCUCAUGUUUUAUCUAAAUUCCAGUUUGUGUGAUUUUGAUUCUGCAUUUUCAUUCUUCCCAGGAGAAUCAGGCAGGGGCCAUUUUACAUAAACCAACUAGGCCUUCAGGGCUCAGACUCUGAUGGGAGGAGUCGGGAAGCAGGUAGGACACACUGCCCCUCCUGGAGCAGUGAUUCUCAACUUUUAAAACAUAAAGAUGCUGGGACCUUACCCCAGACUAAUUUAACUAGUUGAGGAUGAAUGCAGGAAAUCACUAUUGUUUUAGAGUUCUCCGGUAGAUUCAGAUGCACAGCCAGGGUUCAGAGCCACUGGCUGGUAAACUCAUAGAUCCCAGAUCAUCUUGAAUUGGUUCUUCUCGGACAUAGCUCAUUUUCUUAAUGUGUUUAUUUCUUUUUUCUUUUUUUUUUUUUUUUGUGAGGAAGAUCAGCCCUGAGCUAACAUCUGUGCUAAUCCUCCUCUUUUUG